CCCUCCUUUCUGAAGAACUGUAAUGUCAUUAAUUUGGUGUUGCAGGGAAACAGGACUGUUACUUUGAAAAAAUUAGAGUGUUUAAAGCAGGCUAACGCUUGAAUACAUUAGCAUGGAAUAAUGAAAUAGGACGUUCAAACCUAUUUUGUUGGUUUCUAGGAUUGACGUAAUGAUUAAUAGGGAUAGUUGGGGGCAUUAGUAUUCAAUUGUCAGAGGUGAAAUUCUUGGAUUUAUUGAAGACUAACUACUGCGAAAGCAUUUGCCAAGGAUGUUUUCAUUAAUCAAGAACGAAAGUUAGGGGAUCGAAGACGAUCAGAUACCGUCGUAGUCUUAACCAUAAACUAUGCCGACUAGGGAUCGGAUGAUGUUAAUUUUUUAAUGACUCAUUCGGCGCCUUACG
RNAcentral lists this ribosomal RNA (400 nucleotides) under uncultured Glomeromycotina. RNAcentral describes it as "SSU rRNA". It matches the Rfam family "Eukaryotic small subunit ribosomal RNA", at positions 694 to 1092 of the family's 1831-position model. Lineage: Eukaryota; Fungi; Glomeromycota. The record is from RNAcentral.